GUGCUUGCCUCGGUAGCACAUAUACUAAAAUUGGAGUGAUACAGAGAAAAUUAGCAUGGCCCUUGUGCAAGGAUGACACACAAAUUCGUGAAGCGUUCCAUAUUUCU
RNAcentral lists this small nuclear RNA (107 nucleotides) under Phocoena sinus (vaquita). Lineage: Eukaryota; Metazoa; Chordata; Mammalia; Artiodactyla; Phocoenidae. The record is from RNAcentral.